CGUGGUGCUCCCCUUUGCCUCUUUUGCGUUCAGGCCCUUCUGCUUUGUCACGUCUCCUCUCUUCUAAAGUUUAGACGUCUAUUGUUUAGACGUCUAAUUGGUAGAUUGUCUACUUUCCGAUUUAGAUUUUUCCGGCGGUUCUUUGUACUGGACGUCGAAGUUCUGCUGAACUAGUUCAUCGGAACGCGUGGAUACUCGUGGAGAGAUCGUACCUUCGAUCUUGACGGGCGGACUACAUGAUCAACUACUUGCAGCGGUUGAUCGUGACGGGCUGACGGAUGACCGUCAAAUUGGAUCGCGGGCGCAGCAAGAUCGAGCUGGGAUAAUUCUCGCGGCUGGGAGGUAUAACCUAGCUGCAGGAAUCUACUACAGGCUUCUCCGACUAUCUACUUCCGCUACGGUUAUCGGUACGUGAUCAAUCUAUCACACCCGCAUAGUGAUCUUGGUUGCUCUGUUCGUAGGAAAAUUUUAAAAUUACGCCUACGUUCCCCUUCAGUGGUAUCAAAGCGAUCUAUGCGUAGAUGUGAUAUGAUCUAGAGCAUAUAUGAUAUGCGGGCGUUGCACAAGUGUUGUGUGGGUAUUGUAGAUUGGAUCUAUAAUUACCUGAAUAUCAUAUUAUCCCUUGCUCCUUGCAUUACUCGUAUAAUCCGGUGGCACGUGGAAUUUUGCUACAAAGCCUGGUUGUUUCUGCCGGCCUUCAGCGAUGGUAACAAGUAAGCCCUUGCCUAAACGCGUUACCAUUUGUCGUGCCCUUGGUUGCAACUUCAGGUACUUUGGGUUUCACGGUAGCUGGUGAAAUCUUGGGUGCAAGGUAGAGAGGGUUGUGGGCGAACUCUUCGUCCACAAUGGAUGGUGCAUACAGGUGAUACCAUGCAUACUGAAACGAUGAUAUGACAUAUCGCGCCUUAUGUUUCAUAGGUAAUAAACGGUUUGUUUCGCAACCUUAGAAGCCACAUAAAAUCUGCAAACCAAAUUAGACGCGAUCCCCUUAGGGCCCACUCGGUACUGAUCUAAAUUCUUCCGGCGGUUCUUCGUACUGGACGUCGAAGUUCUGCUGAACUAGUUCAUCGGAACGCGUGGAUACUCGUGGAGAGAUCGUACCUUCGAUCUUGACGGGCGGACGACAUGAUCAACUACUUGCAGCGGUUGACCAUGACGGGCUGACGGAUGACCGUCAAAUUGGAUCGCGGGCGCAACAGGAUCGUGCUGGGAUAAUUCUCGCGGCUGGGAGGUAUAACCUAGCUGCGGGAAUCUGCUACAGGCUUCUCCGACUAUCUACUUCCGCUACGGUUGUCGUUUACACUUAUAAUUUGUGUCACAUAAGUCACACGUCGACGGAGUAAUGCUUGGUCAAAGAAAACAACAUACGUCCUAAUUUAAGGAAUCGAGUGAGUAUAUCAUUUGAGCUUCGGUCAAUUAACACUCGAAUGUACCUAGAGACUGCAGAUCAUCCAAAAUCGGUUGGACAGAUGCAAUGUUGUACUCCAGCAAUGAUAACGAGUUGCUGGACUGGAAUUUUUUGUCUUUUGCAAUGGUUACCAAAAGUAUAUUUGUACCAGUAUUGCUUCGACAUUUUUAAAACUACCAUCAACUUUUUAUAAAAUUCAGAAUUUAUUUGAACCAUUAAAUAAUUUGUACAAGCAACAAAAUAUGUUAGCAUAAAAAUAACAACUUCAUUCCCAUCUCAUUCCCAUUAGUUCUCUUCACUGUCACAUGGUGGAAUGCUCAGCACAUGGAGGGCCCUGUGCUUUUCUCUCAUUGGUGGAAGUGAUGCCGGUAGAUACCCCUACCUGUAGAAAUGACUUUACCAUGAGAUUAGUUCUUCUUGUAUUCUUCUGUACUCGUGAGUUGUGAAGAAACUACAGCGAGUCAGGGACACGCACGUAGCGCACUGAACCUAAAACUUGCAAAAAAAAAAAAA
Long non-coding RNA from Brachypodium distachyon (stiff brome), 1921 nucleotides. RefSeq lists it as uncharacterized. The record is from RefSeq and is a predicted model, not a curated record. The transcript has 2 exons. NCBI's taxonomy places the organism in Eukaryota, Viridiplantae, Streptophyta, Magnoliopsida, Poales, Poaceae.